This 64-nucleotide transfer RNA is filed under the name Parastacus brasiliensis. Its description in RNAcentral is "tRNA-Pro". It matches the Rfam family "tRNA". Rfam says of the family: Transfer RNA (tRNA) molecules are approximately 80 nucleotides in length. Their secondary structure includes four short double-helical elements and three loops (D, anti-codon, and T loops). Lineage: Eukaryota; Metazoa; Arthropoda; Malacostraca; Decapoda; Parastacidae. The record is from RNAcentral.
CAGAGAGUAGUUUAAAAAAUAUUAAUUUUGGAAAUUAAAGAUAAAGAAUUUUCUUUUUCUCUGA